AGAGUUUGAUCCUGGCUCAGAUUGAACGCUGGCGGCAUGCUUUACACAUGCAAGUCGAACGGUAACAGGGAGCUUGCUCCGCUGACGAGUGGCGAACGGGUGAGUAAUGCAUCGGAACGUGCCUAUUUGUGGGGGAUAACGUAGCGAAAGUUACGCUAAUACCGCAUACGCCCUGAGGGGGAAAGCGGGGGAUUCGUAAGAACCUCGCGCAAUUAGAGCGGCCGAUGUCGGAUUAGCUAGUUGGUGGGGUAAAGGCUCACCAAGGCGACGAUCCGUAGCGGGUCUGAGAGGAUGAUCCGCCACACUGGGACUGAGACACGGCCCAGACUCCUACGGGAGGCAGCAGUAGGGAAUAUUGCGCAAUGGGCGAAAGCCUGACGCAGCGAUGCCGCGUGAGUGACGAAGGUCUUAGGAUUGUAAAGCUCUUUUCUGAGGGAAGAAUAGGUCCGGUAGGAAAUGAUCGGAUUCUGACGGUACCUCAGGAAUAAGGAACGGCUAACUCCGUGCCAGCAGCCGCGGUAAUAA
This 525-nucleotide ribosomal RNA is filed under the name uncultured bacterium. RNAcentral describes it as "bacterial SSU rRNA". It matches the Rfam family "Bacterial small subunit ribosomal RNA", at positions 8 to 526 of the family's 1533-position model. The record is from RNAcentral.